UGACAUGUGUUGCGAUCACGUGA
Molecule: non-coding RNA, 23 nt
Filed under: Arabidopsis thaliana (thale cress)
Lineage: Eukaryota; Viridiplantae; Streptophyta; Magnoliopsida; Brassicales; Brassicaceae
Source: RNAcentral